AAAAGCUUUCUUUAAUUGAAUAAUUGAAUUUAAUUUUUUAGUGCAAAAGCAAAAAUAAAAAUUAGGGACAAGAAGACCCUAUGAAUUUUUAUUAAAUUUUAUAAAACUUUAUAUAAAAUUUAAUUUAAUUGGGGUGAUGGAAAAAGAAUAAAUAUCUUUUUUUUUUAAAAAAAAUUGGUUCCGUUUUUAGCGAUUAAAUGAAAAAAAUACUCUAGGGAUAACAGCGUAAUAAUUUUGGAUAGUUCAUAUAGAUAAAAUAGUUUGCGACCUCGAUGUUGGAUUAGGAUUCUUUUUUGGUGAAGAAGUUAAAAAAAGAAGUUUGUUCAACUUAUAAUUUCCUACUUGAUCUGAGUUCAGACCGG
This 362-nucleotide ribosomal RNA is filed under the name Ixodes ricinus (castor bean tick). RNAcentral describes it as "partial 16S ribosomal RNA". The stretch from base 66 to 362 matches the Rfam family "Bacterial large subunit ribosomal RNA", at positions 2078 to 2619 of the family's 2925-position model. Lineage: Eukaryota; Metazoa; Arthropoda; Arachnida; Ixodida; Ixodidae. The record is from RNAcentral.